Molecule: ribosomal RNA, 425 nt
Filed under: uncultured bacterium
Lineage: Bacteria
Description: partial 16S ribosomal RNA
Rfam family: Bacterial small subunit ribosomal RNA
Source: RNAcentral
GUGGGGAAUCUUGCGCAAUGGGCGAAAGCCUGACGCAGCCAUGCCGCGUGAAUGAUGAAGGUCUUAGGAUUGUAAAAUUCUUUCACCGGGGACGAUAAUGACGGUACCCGGAGAAGAAGCUCCGGCUAACUUCGUGCCAGCAGCCGCGGUAAUACGAAGGGGGCUAGCGUUGCUCGGAAUUACUGGGCGUAAAGGGCGCGUAGGCGGACAGCUUAGUCAGAGGUGAAAGCCCAGGGCUCAACUUUGGAAUUGCCUUUGAUACUGGCUGUCUUGAGUUUGGGAGAUGUGAGUGGAACUCCGAGUGUAGAGGUGAAAUUCUUAGAUAUUCGGAAGAACACCAGUGGCGAAGGCGACUCACUGGCCCAAUACUGACGCUGAGGCGCGAAAGCGUGGGGAGCAAACAGGAUUAGAUACCCUGGUAGUCC